RNAcentral lists this ribosomal RNA (500 nucleotides) under uncultured bacterium. RNAcentral describes it as "partial 16S ribosomal RNA". It matches the Rfam family "Bacterial small subunit ribosomal RNA", at positions 30 to 523 of the family's 1533-position model. The record is from RNAcentral.
AUUGAACGCUGGCGGCAUGCCUUACACAUGCAAGUCGAACGGCAGCACGGGAGCAAUCCUGGUGGCGAGUGGCGAACGGGUGAGUAAUAUAUCGGAACGUGCCCAGUCGUGGGGGAUAACGUAGCGAAAGCUACGCUAAUACCGCAUACGAUCUAUGGAUGAAAGCGGGGGAUCGCAAGACCUUGCGCGAUUGGAGCGGCCGAUAUCAGAUUAGGUAGUUGGUGAGGUAAAGGCUCACCAAGCCGACGAUCUGUAGCCGGUCUGAGAGGACGACCAGCCACACUGGGACUGAGACACGGCCCAGACUCCUACGGGAGGCAGCAGUGGGGAAUUUUGGACAAUGGGCGCAAGCCUGAUCCAGCAAUGCCGCGUGCAGGAUGAAGGCCUUCGGGUUGUAAACUGCUUUUGUACGGAACGAAACGGUGAGCUCUAAUACAGUUUGCUAAUGACGGUACCGUAAGAAUAAGCACCGGCUAACUACGUGCCAGCAGCCGCCGUAA